This 222-nucleotide ribosomal RNA is filed under the name uncultured bacterium. RNAcentral's name for it is "partial 16S ribosomal RNA". It matches the Rfam family "Bacterial small subunit ribosomal RNA", at positions 109 to 334 of the family's 1533-position model. The record is from RNAcentral.
AGUAAUGUAUGGGGAUCUGCCCGAUAGAGGGGGAUAACUACUGGAAACGGUGGCUAAUACCGCAUAAUGUCUACGGACCAAAGCAGGGGCUCUUCGGACCUUGCACUAUCGGAUGAACCCAUAUGGGAUUAGCUAGUAGGUGGGGUAAAGGCUCACCUAGGCGACGACUCCUAGCUGGUCUGAGAGGAUGAUCAGCCACACUGGGACUGAGACACGGCCCAG